CACAAUCCAAGUGCAUGUGCCAUGAAAAGAGACCCCUCGAGGGGGCAUCCUCGGGAAAGAAAGAGAAGAUAGUAUGAUAUGAUCUAAAAUCAAUAACAUAGACAAGAAGAAACAAGGUUUCAGAAAAUUCAAGUGUGCAGACGAGCCUCAUACAUCUUAUCUUUACAAGAAUAUUAGCUAGGAUUAUUAAAAAUAUCAAUGUGUGGUCGUUCAUCAAUGGUCUCAGUAGGAUAGGGCAUAUUUGGAGCUUUUCUAUUGGUCAAAGCUUCUUCAUUGUAACCAUUUUAAAUAUUUUGAAAGAUUCACA
This 307-nucleotide long non-coding RNA is filed under the name Solanum tuberosum (potato). RNAcentral describes it as "long non-coding RNA (STUB_LNC002694)". Lineage: Eukaryota; Viridiplantae; Streptophyta; Magnoliopsida; Solanales; Solanaceae. The record is from RNAcentral.